UAUGCGACACUCUCCCUAGUACGAAAGGAUUGGGAAAGUGAGGCCAAUACUGCAGGCACGCCUCCCCUCUAAAUAGUGAAACCAACUAAACUAUGAAGAAGACCAACACCACUAAUCCAUCAAUCCUAGAAAAGGACCA
RNAcentral lists this ribosomal RNA (139 nucleotides) under Dendrocygna arcuata (wandering whistling-duck). RNAcentral describes it as "partial 16S ribosomal RNA". The record is from RNAcentral. Lineage: Eukaryota; Metazoa; Chordata; Aves; Anseriformes; Anatidae.